AAUGGGGGAAACCCUGACGAUGCGACGCCGCGUGGGGGAUGAAGGUCUUCGGAUUGUAAACUCCUGUUCUACAAGAAGAACGAGCAGUUAGUGAUAAGCUAACUGCUGUGACUGUAUUGUAGCAGCAAGCCCCAGCUAACUACGUGCCAGCAGCUGCGGUAAUACGUAGGGGGCAAGCGUUGUCCGGAAUUACUGGGCGUAAAGCGCACGCAGGCGGCCAUAUAAGUCGGGUAUGAAAUUGCUUGGCUUAACCAAGCAACUGUAUUCGAUACUGUGUGGCUUGAGUACGAGAGGGGAAAGUGGAAUGUACAGUGUAGCGGUGAAAUGCGUAGAGAUUGUACAGAACACCGGUAGCGAAGGCAGCUUUCUGGCUCGAUACUGACGCUGAGGUGCGAAAGUCUGGGUAGCGAACGGGAUUAGAUACCCCGGUAGUCCAGACCGUAAACGAUGGGUACUAAGUGUAGGGGAUACGACUCUUCUGUGCUGUAGCUAACGCAUUAAGUACCCCGCCUGGGGAGUACGGCCGCAAGGUUAAAACUCAAGGUAAUUGACGGGGGGCCGCACAAGCGGUGGAGCAUGUCGCUUAAUUCGAAGCAACGCGAAGAACCUUAUCCAGGGCUUGACAUAUCUCUGAUCGCCAUAGAAAUAUGGCUUUCCUUCGGGACAGAGUUACAGGUGCUGCAUGGCUGUCGUCAGCUCGUGUCGUGAGAUGUUGGGUUAAGUCCCGCAACGAGCGCAACCCUUGUCGUUAGUUGCCAUCAGGUAAUGCUGGGGACUCUAGCGAGACCGCUGGUGAAGAGCCAGAGGAAGGUGGGGAUGACGUCAAGUCCGCAUGGCCCUUAUGCCCUGGGCUGCACACGUGCUACAAUGGUCGGUACAGAGGGUUGCCAAACCGCAAGGUGGAGCGAAUCCCAAAAAGCCGGCCUCAGUUCGGAUUGGAGUCUGCAACUCGACUCCA
RNAcentral lists this ribosomal RNA (958 nucleotides) under marine metagenome. RNAcentral describes it as "bacterial SSU rRNA". It matches the Rfam family "Bacterial small subunit ribosomal RNA", at positions 370 to 1320 of the family's 1533-position model. The record is from RNAcentral.